GACGAACGCUGGCGGCGUGCUUAACACAUGCAAGUCGAACGGAAAGGCCCUGCUUGCAGGGUACUCGAGUGGCGAACGGGUGAGUAACACGUGGGUGAUCUGCCCUGCACUUCGGGAUAAGCUUGGGAAACUGGGUCUAAUACCGGAUAGGAGCCAUCUUUAGUGUGGUGGUUGGAAAGUUUUUUCGGUGUAGGAUGGGCUCGCGGCCUAUCAGCUUGUUGGUGGGGUAAUGGCCUACCAAGGCGGCGACGGGUAGCCGGCCUGAGAGGGUGUACGGCCACAUUGGGACUGAGAUACGGCCCAGACUCCUACGGGAGGCAGCAGUGGGGAAUAUUGCACAAUGGGCGCAAGCCUGAUGCAGCGACGCCGCGUGGGGGAUGAAGGCCUUCGGGUUGUAAACUCCUUUCGCUAGGGACGAAGCUUUUUGUGACGGUACCUAGAUAAGAAGCACCGGCUAACUACGUG
Molecule: ribosomal RNA, 465 nt
Filed under: uncultured bacterium
Lineage: Bacteria
Description: partial 16S ribosomal RNA
Rfam family: Bacterial small subunit ribosomal RNA
Source: RNAcentral